GACGAACGCUGGCGGCGUGCUUAACACAUGCAAGUCGAACGGAAAGGCCCUGCUUUUGUUGGGUUCUCGAUUGGCGAACGGGUGAGUAACACGUGAGUAUCCUGCCCUUGACUUUGUGGUAACUUCAGGAAACUCGGGCUAAUACCGGAUAGGAUCUCCUGCUGCAUGUUGUGGGUUGGUAAGUUUCGGCUGUUGGGGAUGGUCUCGAGGCUUAUCAGCUAGUUGGGGGGGUAGUGUUUUACCAAGGCUUUGAGGGGUAGGCGGCAUGAGAGGGUGACCGGCCACAUUGGGCCUGAGAUACGGCCCAGACUCCUACCGGCGGCAGCAGUCGGGAAUAUUGCACAAUGGGCGGAAGUCUGAUGCAGAAACGCCGCGUGCGGGAUGACGUCCUUCGGGUUGUAAACCGAUUUCGACUGUGACGAAGAGUGAGUGACGGUAAUGGGUAAAGAAGCACCGGCUAACUACGUG
RNAcentral lists this ribosomal RNA (468 nucleotides) under uncultured bacterium. Its description in RNAcentral is "partial 16S ribosomal RNA". It matches the Rfam family "Bacterial small subunit ribosomal RNA", at positions 28 to 507 of the family's 1533-position model. The record is from RNAcentral.